This 831-nucleotide ribosomal RNA is filed under the name Triticum aestivum (bread wheat). RNAcentral describes it as "partial small subunit ribosomal RNA". The record is from RNAcentral. Lineage: Eukaryota; Viridiplantae; Streptophyta; Magnoliopsida; Poales; Poaceae.
AUGCUGACCUCCGGCUUCCAUGAGAUCGAGGAUCUCGUCGACGACUUCUUCCUCGGCCACUCGAAUGCUGCCAACCAAGCCAUCGAAGCUGGUCGUGAAGGGCGGAGGGCGGACGGCGCGAAGACCGCCGCCGAUGCCCCCCGAACUCUUGACGAGCAGAUUCUGAGCAUCGAGGCCCGCCUACGGUUGGCACACCAGAUGCUGCGCCAGCUUCAACGUGUCGGCGCCCAGGCGAUCGCCGCCUUGUGGCCGGACAUGCAGGCACCGCGUACCCCUAGCCGGACUGCCGACUGGCUGGAGGUAGCGGUUGGUCGCCUUGAGGCCUGGAAGGGCUCUUCGGCCCGGGCUAGAGUGCACCGGGCCUUAGAGUUCGUCAAGGUGUGGUACCCUGGGCUGAGCCUAGACCAUCUAGCCACGUUCCGGCUAGAAGCUCAGGCGGAGUUGGUGGUCGUGGAAGACGAUCUCGUCAAGCGCGCGACGUCUAUCGCCGAGUACAACGACACUAGCGUCUUCGUCCCAGAGCGGGUUGAGAAUGGCGACGGGGCCCCGCUGGAGUGGUUCGGACUGAAUCCGAACGACGGCGAGGACUCGGCGGAGGUGAUUGACUCCAGUGGCGAGGAAGAAGGCGAGGUGGAGGAAGGAGUCGAAGAGGAGGCGCCAGAGGUCGGAGCGGAUGGCCAACCCCAGCUCGACCGCGCCUCUAGCAACGAGCCACGCCCUUCCGAGCCAGCCGUUGCCAGAGACGACCAAGCAGAGACCGACCAGCCGGCUGCUCCGGCAACUGGCACCGCCGACUCCUCCGAUCCUUCGAACCCGUCUGCUGCUUCCUAA